AGAGUACGUGAAACCGUUCAGGGGUAAACCUGAGAAACCCGAAAGGUCGAAAGGGGAGAUUCAGCGUGUCUCGAUUGCGGCGCUGGACGGUCGUGCGACGGAAGACGUACGCGUCAUCCGCACCUUCCGUUCUCCGAACCGUAGUCGAACGCGUGCACUUCUCCCCCUGUAGGACGUCGCGAUCCGUUGGGUGUCGGCCUAAGGCCCGCAAUGGAGCCCGUUCGGACGGUUUUCCGUUCCGGACGAACUUGCGGUGUUUCCCGGUCGGCUCGCUCGACGGUAUACAGAUGGCGCGGGGCCGCUACACAUCAGUUAGCGUCCGACCGGCGGCAAGCGCGCUCGUCGUGACGGUGAUCGGACCUGGUGCCGGUCCUGUCCCCGAGUGGCUGUUCGCUGCCGUGUUCUCGGACAGACCUCGUCGAAACGCCGAUCUGCGACGCUAUAGCUUUGGGUACUUUCAGGACCCGUCUUG
RNAcentral lists this ribosomal RNA (472 nucleotides) under Philolithus aegrotus. Its description in RNAcentral is "eukaryotic LSU rRNA". The record is from RNAcentral. Lineage: Eukaryota; Metazoa; Arthropoda; Insecta; Coleoptera; Tenebrionidae.